AUACUCCGGUUUCUCUUCAGAUCAUAUAAAUCUUUGGCCUUUUACUGAAGAUUUCCAUGGACAGGAACAGUUAUGAGUCUUUACCCAAUUUUUUGAGGCCUCUUGUUUAAUGAUUUU
This is a small nuclear RNA of Cercocebus atys (sooty mangabey), 117 nucleotides long. Its record names the gene U5. It matches the Rfam family "U5 spliceosomal RNA". From Rfam's summary of the family: U5 RNA is a component of both types of known spliceosome. The precise function of this molecule is unknown, though it is known that the 5' loop is required for splice site selection and p220 binding, and that both the 3' stem-loop and the Sm site are important for Sm protein binding and cap methylation. NCBI's taxonomy places the organism in Eukaryota, Metazoa, Chordata, Mammalia, Primates, Cercopithecidae. The record is from Ensembl.